Molecule: ribosomal RNA, 274 nt
Filed under: uncultured bacterium
Lineage: Bacteria
Description: partial 16S ribosomal RNA
Rfam family: Bacterial small subunit ribosomal RNA
Source: RNAcentral
AUACGGAGGGUGCGAGCGUUAAUCGGAAUUACUGGGCGUAAAGCGUACGUAGGCGGUUGGUUAAGUUAGAUGUGAAAGCCCCGGGCUUAACCUGGGAACUGCAUUUAAAACUGGCGAACUAGAGUUGAGUAGAGGGGAGUGGAAUUUCAGGUGUAGCGGUGAAAUGCGUAGAGAUCUGAAGGAACACCAGUGGCGAAGGCGACUCCCUGGACUCGAACUGACGCUGAGGUACGAAAGCGUGGGUAGCAAACGGGAUUAGAUACCCGAGUAGUCC